Small nucleolar RNA from Bactrocera tryoni, 211 nucleotides. RefSeq annotates it as small nucleolar RNA U3. The record is from RefSeq and is a predicted model, not a curated record. The transcript has a single exon. Lineage: Eukaryota; Metazoa; Arthropoda; Insecta; Diptera; Tephritidae.
AAGGCUGUACUUUUUACAGGAUCAUUUCUGUAGUUAGUCUCUACAUUUAAAUUCUUUUUGGAAAUCGACCCGCGAUGAUGAGGUAUAUGCGUUUUAUCUGACAGCGUGAGGUUUAUGAACUUCAUUUCUAAUAUUGUGUUGUGGCAUAUUAGAAACGAUGUUUCUUCGAAAAUCGCUCGCUUUACAACGGAUAAAACGACUUCUGAGUGGU